AUGAUUAUUACUCCGCAGAAUCAGUCUAUUUUAACAAAGGUUUCUGAACUAGUUAAUCCUAUUACCCAAACGUGGGAUGAGCAAUUGCUUCAAGACCAUUUUAACCCCGUGGAUGUUCGAAGGAUCUUACACAUACCCUUACACCUUCAAGCAUUUGAUGAUUUUGUCGCCUGGCAUCCGAAUAAAAACAGAAUCUUUUCUGUGAAAACUGCAUAUCAUAUUGAGUGGAUACACAAAUAUGGGGGCCAUGCAACUGCCCUGGGCAGACCGGGAAGCUCUACGACUCCGGCAGUGUGGUCUAUGCUAUGGAAUCUUCAAGUCCCACGUAAAGUUCAAAUAUUUUGCUGGAGAAUUCUGCACGGAAUUGUACCAUUAAUGUCUGUACUCGCUAAUAGACACAUCCCGGUGAGUGGAGAAUGCCCAAUCUGUCACGUUGGACCAGAGGAUGUGCGCCAUCUGCUUUUUGAAUGCAUUCCAGCGAGAGAAUUGUGGGAGAAAUUAGGCGUUUUGGACUCUAUCAGAUCGGCCCUUCACGUGGAUCGCUCGGGAUCAAUAGUUCUGGAACACUUGCUAAACUUACCAACCACUCUGUUUCACCUCAUGCCUACUAUUCAAAGUAUUGACGUCAUAGCAGUGGGAUAUUGGUAUUUGUGGUGGAUCCGUAGGCAGGUCACACAUAAUGAGACAAUUCCGCCUCCCAAUAGAUGGCCCAUUUCAGUGAUGGCAAUUACAUGCGGGUAUAACAAAGUGUCGAACCAAAAUAGGGAGGACACGGAGCAUAGAUGGAAGAGGCCAGACCCAAAGUUUGUUAAAGUAAAUGUUGACGCUGCUUUUUAUCAAGAUGCAGGUGCAGGAGCAACGGCCGCUAUAAUCAGAGACGAGAAGGGGCAAUUUCUAGCUGCUCAAUGCAAAUACAAUGAUUGUGCUUCAGAUGUUACCGCUAUGGAGGCUAGGGCCAUGCGAGAUGGCCUUCAAUUUGCAAAUUCAUUAGGCUUUAAUCGGGUUGAGGCUGAAUCAGACUCCCUUGAAGUCAUUCAGUUCUGCACAGGACAAACACAGUGGUGGGAUGCAUCGGCAGCAGUCUUUGUGGAGUGUCUGGAUACUGUUACAUCAAUUGGGAGGGUCACCUUCAAGCAUUGUUUUCGUGCGGCGAAUACCGCACCUCAUGAGCUAGCUAGCUAA
RNAcentral lists this ribosomal RNA (1182 nucleotides) under Triticum aestivum (bread wheat). RNAcentral describes it as "partial small subunit ribosomal RNA". Lineage: Eukaryota; Viridiplantae; Streptophyta; Magnoliopsida; Poales; Poaceae. The record is from RNAcentral.